AGUGAACGCUGGCGGUAGGCCUAACACAUGCAAGUCGAACGGCAGCACAGUAAGAUCUUGCUCUUACGGGUGGCGAGUGGCGGACGGGUGAGGAAUACAUCGGAAUCUACUUUUUCGUGGGGGAUAACGUAGGGAAACUUACGCUAAUACCGCAUACGACCUACGGGUGAAAGCAGGGGAUCUUCGGACCUUGCGCGAUUGAAUUAGCCGAUGUCGGAUUAGCUAGUUGGCGGGGUAAAGGCCCACCAAGGCGACGAUCCGUAGCUGGUCUGAGAGGAUGAUCAGCCACACUGGAACUGAGACACGGUCCAGACUCCUACGGGAGGCAGCAGUGGGGAAUAUUGGACAAUGGGCGCAAGCCUGAUCCAGCCAUACCGCGUGGGUGAAGAAGGCCUUCGGGUUGUAAAGCCCUUUUGUUGGGAAAGAAAAGCAGCAGGUUAAUACCCCGAUGUUCUGACGGUACCCAAAGAAUAAGCACCGGCUAACUUCGUG
RNAcentral lists this ribosomal RNA (492 nucleotides) under uncultured bacterium. RNAcentral's name for it is "partial 16S ribosomal RNA". It matches the Rfam family "Bacterial small subunit ribosomal RNA", at positions 29 to 507 of the family's 1533-position model. The record is from RNAcentral.